RNA transcript from Plodia interpunctella (Indianmeal moth), 3764 nucleotides. It is a transcript of the gene named prominin, with no coding region annotated. The transcript is spliced from 19 exons. The record is from RefSeq and is a predicted model, not a curated record. Lineage: Eukaryota; Metazoa; Arthropoda; Insecta; Lepidoptera; Pyralidae.
CGUUGUCGGGCAGACUGCUAAGUGCCACAAAUCCUCCUUCCAAUGUCCCAUUCGACCUAAUACUCAGUUGUGUCCUGAUACCAUCGACAGACGUGUCGCGGCGACAAAUAGAUUCGAGAAAGUAAACAAUUAUGUUUCGGAUAUGGCCGCGAUUGCUCUGAUUUACGUAAUCUUGCUCGCAAAUUGUGUUUCCCCACAAAUAAGCAGAGCCACGGUAAAAUCAGGUGACAUAAAUAAGUUAUCUUCAGAUUCUACAGAAAUCAUUUUUCCCUUGCAAAAACAAGAAGCCUGGACGACGGCGGAAACUACGCCUGCUGACUUUGCCGGAAAUAAUCUAAACGUUGACGGCAAUGCGCCUCGUGGCUUCACCGAGCUAUUGAUAGAUAAUCAAUUUCACGGGCCAAGAAAAUCGACUGCAAAUUCAAAUGCUGAAGAUGAAAAGCAAAACAAGAAAAUAUUCGAUAAAAAUAUGGCUAAUAAUAAAAGUGAUUUAAGUCUGAAACAGACAAUAGAUAAUAUCCAAACUUCUGAACCAUUACGUUUAGUGUGGGAUAGUUGCUUAGAAACAAUUAUUAAGGACAAUCCAAUAAAUAUAAAUAAACCACCUGUUGAUAUAGACAACAAUAAUAAUGACUAUCAAAUUGAGCAAAGUAAUAUUGAAGAAGGCAAUAUAUGGAACAAGCGAGAUGCUAAUGCUGGUACUCGUAACAAUUCUGUUGCAAUAAAAGCUUGGUUAGACAAAUACAAUAGUUUAAAAAACGGUAAAAUGGAAGAACGAAAACAGCAAAAAACAGAAUCAAUUUUUAUAAAGAAAGUAACUCAACCAGUUUCCAGUUCAUCGACUACAACAGAUUUCAUUUCUACAAUUCAAGUUGUGCCGAUAACAAAAGAAAUUUUUAAUAAACCUCUGGACAGUUUUGAUGUAACACAAAAGCCAGUUGUUACAGAAAAUAAUAUAGCUGUGGGUUACAAUGAGGAUUGGUUUGAAGUCAAGGACAAGAGUAAAAUUAGAUUUAGCGGUCUGCCUCAAAAAGAAUCUUACUUGAUCCCAGCACUUAAACUGGAUGAAGGAUUUCACCCCUUUACUUUCAUGUCUGAGUUUUUUACUCUGAUUUAUCCGUUUGAUUUUCCAGUGGGUCUUAUCAAGGAUAUUGUAUGGGGUAAAUUUACAUUCCCUUACUCAUUCUUACAGUCAAUAAGGAUAGAAUCAACAUUUCUCGGUUUCAUCAUAGCAUUUGCCAGCAUAGCUCUGGUGAUACCAUCGUACCUCCUCAUCCUAGGAAUUCUGUCCUUAUUUUCCACAUCCAGCUGCGAUGAGGACACCGAAACUGGUGCCUUAUUUCCUGAUGAAAAAGGCUCAGAUUGCAAUGACAGAGCGCUAGUUGUUGUGACGCUGUUCAUCUUAUUAUUGUGCUGUGUAUUUCUGUCUGGCAUGGCGAUGAGCAACGAGCAAGCCCGACUAGCGGCCGACGAGAGCCGAAGCGUGGUGAGCUGCGCGUGCGCCGACAUCGCGUCGUGGCUCGCCGCCGCUGCCAGGGAUCUCCACCACAGCCUCAUACCACCUGUAGACCUUGUAAUGCAUGCUUUUAGGGAAGACUUGCAUAAUAUAGAAUCUCUGCUUGGAGAGCCUAUUCAGCAAGCAAUAGCAUCGGAAAGUGGAAUAGAUUUAGUAUUUGAUUCACUAGUGGAUAUUGUUCAAGAAAGUGAAGAACUAUCGUCAAAGAUAGCAUCACUUCGUGACGUCAGCAUGCGGGCAGGAGCCAUGGCGGCGGCUGCUGGAGACAAGAUCAAUGACCUGGCGAGGCAACUGGAGAAUUUGAAGAAGUAUUGUGUGGCGAAAGACGCGCCGCUAUGCGAUACCAUCAACACUAACUCUUUGACGUUACAGCUCAAAUUUGAAUUGAUACUGCACGAACAACAACUACUGCAACUUAGGUCCUUAGGGGUUGAAAACUUAACACAAGCAAUUUCCACUGCGAAGAAAGAAUUCAAAAUGUUGCCCUCAGCUAUAGCUUCACAAACAGUGCAAACUAGAAGUGAUGUUUUACAAGACGUAGAAGCGCGAAGGCUAGCAGUGCACAGUUCGGCUAAAAUCCUCAGUGACAUAGUGCGCCACCUUACUUCAGGAUUACACUCCGUAGCUCAUAGGUUCGAUACUACGCUUGGUCGACUGCAGAAAUAUGAAUUUUGGAGAUGGGUUGUUAUGUCAGCAUGUCUCAUUAUGUUUGCUAUUAUAAUGCUUUUGAUGCUACUUGGGAUGUUGUGUGGCUGUGGGCGAGCUAAGGAUCAUGGAAAAAGAACUUUACAACUAUCCACUGUUUGGUUAUGUUUCGCAUCCCUCGUCUUAUGGACGUUGAUAUCAACAAUUUUCUUAAUUACGGGCCACGCUGAGGUAUACAUUUGCCAUGCUCUGUGGGAUUUCCCUCAAUAUGAAACUCUGUCAGCUCUUCUGGAUAAGCCUUCACCUCUAUUGGAAAAUAAAGAAGGAAUCUUUGAUACACUAUUCAGGGAUCUAAACAAUGUCACUAUUGAUGUGUCUGUUAGUGAUGUUUUAAGAGAUUGUGAACAAGAUCGGCCAGCGUACGUAGUGUUUCAGCUGGAGAGAAUACUAGACGUGAACAAGGAAACUUCUUACUUCGAGUGGGGGGAGCUCCAAAGAGACCUGGGUCGUUUGGCAUCGGCCAUCGACGUCAGCUUGUUGAAGACCAUCUCGGAUGGCUUCAGCCGACUACUGAACCAGAUGUUAGCUGUGUCUACUGUCAAUUUGGCGAAGUAUAGGAUGGAAUAUAAUGUACCACUGGUUGGCAAAGAUCUUCCUUCAUUAGUGGACCAACUUGAGAAUAUUGCAGCGCAAACAUCCGAUCUUACAACUGCUGGCAGAUUGGAAACACUAGCUACUCGAACACAGAGACUAUAUUUAUCCAACAUAAAACCUUUGGAGCAGCUUCGUAACGACGUGGUCUUCAAACUGACCGAGUUGGAGCUACAGCUGAUGCCGUUCAGGAGAAAACUAAACAUUUCCUUGAGCCACAUCCACACAGCUCAAUAUUAUAUUGACAACCAGGGCGAUGUAAUAGCUCAGAAGAAAAUGUCAGUAUACGUGUCCCGCCUUCUCUCGCACGCAGCGAGCUGGCGCACACACGUGCUUGUGGCCGCCGGGACCCACGCGGCGCGUUGCAAACCUCUCUUCUCUGUGUACUCUGCUGCCAGGACGCUGCUGUGCUCCAAAUACAUCGCCUCUCUUCAUGGCUGGUGGGUUUGUGGGUUCCUCCUAGGAGUACUGUGGUGUACCGCCCUCGCUCCUCUCUGCGUCAAACUUUGGAGGAGCUACAAUCGCAAACAGAGGGCGCUUGAGGCUAUGACCCUCACCAACUUGGGAUCAGGGCAACAAGAAACUCCGACUACGGCGCUCUGCGACGGCAGCAACUGGAACACACCUGGGCCUCCGCCGCCUCGCAGUGAUAGUUGGUGACCAAUGGUGAUUUAACAAUGUUAUUAGCACAAAGGACAUUUUCUCACGAUAACUGUGCUAAUCGCGAACAUGAUCAUUUGUGUGAUACAUUUUAGACAAUAGCAAGCUGACCGCACGCUGACCAUAAGUUUCAAAUUAUCACACAGCACCGCGUCGUAUAACCUUGUCGCAUUUGUAGCUGAGCUAGGACACCCGGUUAGAUGCAAUUUAUGCAACCACCAGGAUGUGUUUCGCAAUUCAAGUAAUAUAUGCGAAUGUUCCUUUUGUUGAAAUAUCCAAUUUGUUAUAAACU